RNAcentral lists this non-coding RNA (461 nucleotides) under Parcubacteria group bacterium GW2011_GWA2_47_10b. The record is from RNAcentral.
GAGCUGGGUUCAAACCGUCAAAAAUGAACCUUAAAUAUCGAGUAAAAUCACACGGCGGCUUUCUCGCGUAAGCGAGAUCGAAAAAACCGACUCAUAUCGGUGAAGUCCUAAUAUAUAAUGUAGACAACCUGCCCGCUUCGCCGAAGUUUUCAGCGAGGCGAGUCAUGUGUUAGGAUAAUACCGAGGGAAGUUGAACUACUUAAAAAAGAAUGCUUAAGAAAUUUGAGGCGAUUAAAGUUAUUGCAGCAUUAAUCAUUAUAGUAUUGAUUAUACUUUUAGUUGUAAAAAUUAAAGUAAAUUCAGUCCAAGAGGGAAAGAAUUUACUUGACCUCUGGUAGUUUUAACCCCGUAGAGACUUGCUACUUUAAGUAGCGGAGUCAUCCAUUUUUUGGAUGGCUAAAACGUCGGUCCCCCGCAGUUGCGGGGUGAUGGUAUAGUCCGAUCCAUUUGGUAACAGAUGA